This 443-nucleotide ribosomal RNA is filed under the name uncultured bacterium. Its description in RNAcentral is "partial 16S ribosomal RNA". It matches the Rfam family "Bacterial small subunit ribosomal RNA", at positions 338 to 795 of the family's 1533-position model. The record is from RNAcentral.
ACUACGGGAGGCAGCAGUGGGGGAUAUUGGACAAUGGGGGGAACCCUGAUCCAGCGACGCCGCGUGAGUGAAGAAGUAUUUCGGUAUGUAAAGCUCUGUCAGCAGGGAAGAAAGAAAUGACGGUACCUGACCAAGAAGCCCCGGCUAACUACGUGCCAGCAGCCGCGGUAAUACGUAGGGGGCAAGCGUUAUCAGGAAUUACUGGGUGUAAAGGGAGCGUAGACGGGUAAGUAAGUCUGGAGUGAAAGGCCGGGGCCCAACCCCGGGACUGCUUUGGAAAAUAAUUGACUUGAGUGCAGGAGAGGUAAGCGGAAUGCCUGGUGUAGCGGUGAAAUGCGUAGAUAUUAGGAGGAACACCAGUGGCGAAGGCGGCUUACUGGACUGUAACUGACGUUGAGGCUCGAAAGCGUGGGGAGCAAACAGGAUUAGAUACCCCAGUAGUC